This 834-nucleotide long non-coding RNA is filed under the name Anas platyrhynchos platyrhynchos (common mallard). RNAcentral's name for it is "lncRNA (ENSAPLG00000031142.1)". The record is from RNAcentral. Lineage: Eukaryota; Metazoa; Chordata; Aves; Anseriformes; Anatidae.
GCAAAAAUAAUCACUAAUAGAAUAAUUUUAAAAAUAAAUGGGUGUGUAUAUUGUGAAGUUACCAUUGCUGAAACUCUUAUUGAAAGCAAAUGGACUAUUUGAAAUCACCCUAAAAAAUGACAAGGUUUGCAUAAAGUCAUUGUAUAUCAUAUUACAAAAUAAUCUAUGAGUUGACUCAGUACCUCAGUUAUGAGAUUUUUUUCCUGAGUUCUAUUAGUAUUUAGCAUUACCCACACUAUCAUGGAUAUAACAGAGACGUUAAAUAAAACACAAAACUACACAAUAUGUAAUUUUAAGCUUUUAUUCAUUAGAAUAAUAAUUUUAAUUAUUUUUUAUCUAUGUUUUCUGUCAUUUUAAUGCCUAUUAAUUAGGAAAAUAUUUACUAAUUUGUAAAUCUUUUAUAAUGGAUACAAAGAGCAAGGGUGAACAUUACUCACAGAACCACAAACAUAAGGCUCAAUUAUGACAAGGGAAGGCACAACUUCAAGUACCAUUUCUGUCAGGUAUUUAAGAGUGGAGAAUUGUAGGUCUGGUUAGAAGUUGAUGGAAAUGAGGUUUACAGCAGUGAUGGUCAGAGCUGAGGGAUGCUGAUCUCAGGGACACUGAUUUGAGACAUGCAGAGGAUGGUGCAGAAGAGGAACUUUAUUCCACAUAUGAAGGCAGUCAAGGAAUCCAGCCAAGAUAAGAUCUCAUGCUGCAGCUAACCUGCCUCACCUGUGUGCCUUCCUCUGAGAGAUCCUGUGGCAACAAGAGCUGCAGGAACAGAUGGUAUAUUUUCCUCUACCAAAAAGAAGAUCGGAGUAUCUGGGAAAUCAUAUUUAUCUGUGGUGUAUC